RNAcentral lists this ribosomal RNA (307 nucleotides) under uncultured bacterium. RNAcentral describes it as "bacterial SSU rRNA". It matches the Rfam family "Bacterial small subunit ribosomal RNA", at positions 156 to 497 of the family's 1533-position model. The record is from RNAcentral.
ACUUGUGCUAAUACCUCAUAAGUCUUUACGGAGAAAGCUUUAUGCGCCAAUGGAUGAGCCUGCACUUGAUUAGUUUGUUGGUGGGGUAAUGGCCUACCAAGACAAUGAUCAAUAGCUGAUUUGAGAGGAUGAUCAGCCACAUUGGGACUGAGACAGGCCCAAACUCCUACGGGAGGCAGCAGUAGGGAAUCUUGCACAAUGGGGGAAACCCUGAUGCAGCGAUGCCGCGUGAGUGAAGAAGGCCCUAGGGUUGUAAAACUCUUUCGCCAGGGAAGAUAAUGACGGUACCUGGUAAAGAAACCCCGGC